GAACUUAAGCAUAUCAAUAAGGCGAGGAACAGAAACCAACUGGGAUUCCCCUAGUAGUGGCGAAUGAAGCGGGAAAAGCUCAAGUUUGAAAUCCGGCGGGUGACUUCCGGAGUUGUAAGCUGAUGAGGUAUCGACCGACGUGGUCCGGGCCCAAUUUCCUUGGAACAGGAGGUCAUGGAGGGUGAGAACCCCGUCCGUGGCUCGGGUGCCAUCGUCCUUGUGUCGUGUCCUCUAAGAGUCGGGUUGUUUGGGAAUGCAGCUCAAAAUGGGUGGUAAAUUUCAUCUAAAGCUAAAUACUGGCGAGAGACCGAUAGCAAACAAGUAGAGUGAUCGAAAGAUGAAAAGUACUUUGAAAAGAGAGUGAAACAGUACGUGAAAUUGUUGAAAGGGAAGCGUUUGGCAUCAGCCCUUGGCGUCCGUCGAACAUCCAGGCUUCUGCCUGGUGCACUCGUCGGUCGUCGGGCCAGCGUCGGCUCUGCCUGUCGGAGAAAGGUCCGAGGGAUGUGGCUCACCUUCGAGCGUUAUAACCUCGGGCGUCAUGCGAUAUGGUGGGGCCGAGGUCUGCGGACUCUGUCCUAGGACGCUGGCGUAAUGGUUCCAAGCGACCCGUCUUGAAACACGGACCAAGGAGUCUAACAUCUAUGCGAGUGUUUGGGUGUCAAGCCCGUCCGCGCAAUGAAAGUGAAUGCAGGCGGGAGCCGUAAAAGGUGCACCGCCGACCGGUCCGGGGGUUUACCGAAGGAUCCGAGUAAGAGCAUAGCUGUUGGGACCCGAAA
This 776-nucleotide ribosomal RNA is filed under the name uncultured fungus. RNAcentral's name for it is "eukaryotic LSU rRNA". It matches the Rfam family "Eukaryotic large subunit ribosomal RNA", at positions 30 to 821 of the family's 3401-position model. The record is from RNAcentral. Lineage: Eukaryota; Fungi.